AGUGAGCUCUGGCUUCCAUACCAUGGGCUGGUGAGACUCCUCACGCCCCCCGGAUUCUCUCGUUCCUCUUCUGCCGCUUCUGCAAAUAGACAUCAUGCAAGUAGUCCCCGGCAGAGGAUAAGGUAUUUGGUACACAAAAUUGAUGAGACACGCCGCUGAAGGACUCAACGAUGCUGCUGAGGUUGUAGUACGUCGGCCGCUACGGUGGAGGCGGAGACGACGAUGGCGCACCAAGGGCGAAUCGCGCAGCGGAAGGGAGGGACAGGCGGCGAAGGAGAGGAGGGGAAGUUGGCCUUAGCCUCGGGCUCGCGAAUGGCGAUGGCGGCGACGUCCUCGACGGAGUCAAACGUGCCAAGCCACACCCGCGCGCCUUCUUCCAGAUGUCCGGAUCUCAGCCGCGAAUCGCCCACACGACCGCUUUCGGACGCCACGGUACCGCACCUCUACCGUCAUCACCGCGGCCGGAGCUCGGCCCUACCGGAUCUCUUCUUCGACACACACGAAAACCAAUGAUUGGAUCUCAAGAGGCGAGGAGGGAACUCGUGAUCGAUCAAAAGCAGAGUUUUGAAGUCUUCAUCACAAAUCCGUCUCCUUGCAAUCGAUCGCCCUCCAGACUGAAGGAAGACUUGGAAUGCUCUGAUUCUUUCUUAUACCAAUGAAUCAAUCACACUUCUCCUUCCCCUUC
Molecule: non-coding RNA, 685 nt
Organism: Musa acuminata subsp. malaccensis (wild Malaysian banana)
Lineage: Eukaryota; Viridiplantae; Streptophyta; Magnoliopsida; Zingiberales; Musaceae
Source: RefSeq, a predicted model, not a curated record